This is a long non-coding RNA of Rosa chinensis, 1653 nucleotides long. RefSeq lists it as uncharacterized. The record is from RefSeq and is a predicted model, not a curated record. The transcript has 11 exons. Lineage: Eukaryota; Viridiplantae; Streptophyta; Magnoliopsida; Rosales; Rosaceae.
UUGAAUUUGUUUAUCCGGGGAGAGAGUCGGACGUGGGAGACGCACGAAAUACCCACUCAACUGAGAAUUGCCUCCUUCACCGGUAAUAACCAACCAGAAAACUCACGAUCUUAACACGAACGUGGGAAGUUAUCGGCGCUCAAUGGGCUCACCACGAUUUACCAGCUAUAAAAGAGGCAAGAUGGAUGAUCAACCCAGAACAAGGAAAAAGAAGAGAAUCAAAUUCCUGCAAUUUCAAUUUGGAUUUCGAUUUGGUUCGGAAGAGCACUCAACUGAAUCGUGUUUAGAAGGAUUGGUGAGAAUCAGUGAGCAAUUAAGGUAUCAAAUUUGGUCGUUACAAAAAAAAAAAAAAAGCUAGAUGUGCAAUACCUUCAUGUUAAUGCAGCUAUUGAUUCCAGCAUAGGCCUUAACCCAGCCCCUCUUUUAGAGUUAUCAGCAACAAUUGGAAGUAAGGAUCUUAGGAAGGUUGAUGAAAUUGGAAUUCAAGUCCUUAUUAGAUUAACAGGACGGGUGAGCAAUUAAGGAAGAAUUGAUUGAAGCUGUGAGGAAUUGAGGAGCAUAUUGAACAAAGCUUUAAGAUUACUAGGAACAGUCAGAUGGCAUGCAAACUGUGUUCUUUUUAUUGCUCAAAGUUAAUCAUUCAAGGCCAGAUCUCUCUGUGUCUUCUACCUCAUUCAUGUUGUUGGCUUUUUCUAAUCUUAAUUUCUAAUAUUGUUUACCGGUCAAAAUUGAUUAUAGAGGGUUGUUAUUUGUUUCCUUUACUUUUGUUUCUAAUACUGAAACUGUGAAGAUUCUUAACAAACAAAAUGAGUAAAGUUGAGAGUUCAUAGGCAACGGUGAAGCAAACCACUGAAUUGCUUCGCUCGGUGCGCGUAUACCCUACACAAAUCAAGUUGGGGCUUUGAUUGAUGUUGCAAAGGUAGCUGGGGAGUAGCUGAUUGCUGCAAAUCUGUGGGUAAGGACAUUUAAAAUCAUAAACUUUAUUGACGAAAUAAAGAAGAAUACAUCUACAAGUUUUAAGAGUUGUGAAGACUAUUGACAAACAAAGUGAGGUGGUUUGCUUCCAAAAAAAAGGACUGGUCUCAAGACAUAGUUGCUGAAUUAUGGUAUGCUUCCAGUGAAGUACGCAUUGGUUAAAUGGCUUCUUCGUCACGGUCUCUUCAGCUGCCACUUAAUGGAGAUCAGGGAAACACAAUGCUACAUGCAUUAGAGGCAGAAAGGCAUCGUAGGAAUGCCCGACAAAGAGAAAGGCGACGGUCAUUAAAUUCCUCACAACGAGCUGAGUGUUCAGCCCGAAGACGCGCCAAUUAUCAAAUGCGGCGAACUAUGGAAAAUAUAAGUAACAAUGGAAAUCAAGUGGAAGCAAGGGAGGGAAGUAGUCUCGAUCCUAUUCAUCCAAACAAUAGGCCACGUAGUAAUGUUACUGCGCAAGCACGUGGUAGAGGUCGCGGACGCAGGCACGGGCGCGGAACUCAUAAUUGUGCUAGAAAUUUUAAUGAGGCCAUCGGAGUCACAAAAUUUCAGUUGCCAGCAUCGACGACAUGUCCACAUUGUCAUGCCUGUUUAUUCUAUCACGAAAGUAGAGACAUGUGUUGCUCCAAUGGAAAGAUUGUCUUGCCUCCCAUACAUUCUCCUCCAGAUAUGAUAGAGCUA